This 376-nucleotide ribosomal RNA is filed under the name uncultured bacterium. Its description in RNAcentral is "bacterial SSU rRNA". It matches the Rfam family "Bacterial small subunit ribosomal RNA", at positions 521 to 896 of the family's 1533-position model. The record is from RNAcentral.
UAAUACAGAGGGUGCGAGCGUUAAUCGGAAUUACUGGGCGUAAAGGGCGCGUAGGCGGUUAUAUAAGUUUGAUGUGAAAUCCCUGGGCUUAACCUAGGAACUGCGUUGAAAACUGUAUGACUAGAGUACUGUAGAGGGUAGUGGAAUUUCCGGUGUAGCGGUGAAAUGCGUAGAUAUCGGAAGGAACACCAGUGGCGAAGGCGGCUACCUGGACAGAUACUGACGCUGAGGCGCGAGAGCGUGGGGAGCAAACAGGAUUAGAUACCCUGGUAGUCCACGCUGUAAACGAUGAGAACUAGAUGUUGGCAGGCUUGACCUGUUAGUAUCGCAGCUAACGCGAUAAGUUCUCCGCCUGGGGAGUACGGCCGCAAGGUUA